CUACGGCCAUACUGCCCUGAACACACCCAAUCUCAUCAGAUCUCAGAAGCUAUGCAGGGUCAGGCCUGGUUAGUACUUGGGUCAGAGAACUGCCAGGGGUAUGGGAGGGUCAGGUUUCUAUGUGGA
RNAcentral lists this ribosomal RNA (126 nucleotides) under Jaculus jaculus (lesser Egyptian jerboa). Lineage: Eukaryota; Metazoa; Chordata; Mammalia; Rodentia; Dipodidae. The record is from RNAcentral.